Molecule: ribosomal RNA, 722 nt
Filed under: Butyrivibrio sp. P79
Lineage: Bacteria; Bacillati; Bacillota; Clostridia; Lachnospirales; Lachnospiraceae
Description: bacterial SSU rRNA
Rfam family: Bacterial small subunit ribosomal RNA
Source: RNAcentral
AUGGCUCAGGAUGAACGCUGGCGGCGUGCCUAACACAUGCAAGUCGAACGGAGUUUGUAUAACAGAAGUCUUCGGAUGGAAGAUAUAUAAACUUAGUGGCGGACGGGUGAGUAACGCGUGGGUAACCUGCCUCGUACAGGGGGAUAGCAGCUGGAAACGGCUGGUAAAACCGCAUAAGCGCACGGUGUCGCAUGACACAGUGUGAAAAUAUUUAUAGGUACGAGAUGGGCCCGCGUCUGAUUAGCCAGUUGGCAGGGUAACGGCCUACCAAAGCGACGAUCAGUAGCCGGCCUGAGAGGGCGGACGGCCACAUUGGGACUGAGACACGGCCCAAACUCCUACGGGAGGCAGCAGUGGGGGAUAUUGCACAAUGGGCGAAAGCCUGAUGCAGCGACGCCGCGUGAGUGAAGAAGUAUUUCGGUAUGUAAAGCUCUAUCAGCAGGGAAGAAAGGCCCGAAAGGGAGAUGACGGUACCUGAAUAAGAAGCCCCGGCUAACUACGUGCCAGCAGCCGCGGUAAUACGUAGGGGGCAAGCGUUAUCCGGAUUUACUGGGUGUAAAGGGAGCGUAGAUGGUUAGACAAGUCUGAAGUGAAAACCCGCGGCUCAACCGUGAGGAUUGCUUUGGAAACUGUGUAACUAGAGUACUGGAGAGGUAAGCGGAAUUCCUAGUGUAGUAGUGAAAUGCGUAGAUAUUAGGAAGAACAUCAGUGGCGAAGGCGGC